UACGAAGGGGGCUAGCGUUGUUCGGAAUUACUGGGCGUAAAGGGCUCUUAGGCGGCCAACUAAGUCGGAUGUGAAAUCCCCAGGCUUAACCUGGGAACUGCAUCCGAUACUGGAUGGCUUGAAUCCGGGAGAGGGAUGCGGAAUUCCAGGUGUAGCGGUGAAAUGCGUAGAUAUCUGGAGGAACACCGGUGGCGAAGGCGGCGUCCUGGACCAACACUGACACUGAGGAGCGAAAGCCAGGGGAGCAAACGGG
RNAcentral lists this ribosomal RNA (253 nucleotides) under uncultured bacterium. Its description in RNAcentral is "partial 16S ribosomal RNA". It matches the Rfam family "Bacterial small subunit ribosomal RNA", at positions 524 to 776 of the family's 1533-position model. The record is from RNAcentral.